Molecule: ribosomal RNA, 393 nt
Filed under: uncultured bacterium
Lineage: Bacteria
Description: partial 16S ribosomal RNA
Rfam family: Bacterial small subunit ribosomal RNA
Source: RNAcentral
AUACGGAGGAUCCGAGCGUUAUCCGGAUUUAUUGGGUUUAAAGGGUGCGUAGGCGGUUUGCUAAGCGGGAGGUGAAAUGCCGGCGCUCAACGUCGGAAGUGCCUCCCGAACUGGUGGACUGGAAUGACUCUGCCGUGGGAGGCAUGUGUAGUGGAGCGGUGAAAUGCUUAGAGAUUACACAGAACACCGAUUGCGAAGGCAUCUCACGAAGGGUUGAUUGACGCUGAGGCACGAAAGCGUGGGGAUCAAACAGGAUUAGAUACCCUGGUAGUCCACGCAGUAAACGAUGAUGGCUAACCGCUGGUUUUUUCGGAUCAGUGGCCAAGCGAAAGCGAUAAGCCAUCCACCUGGGGAGUACGACCGCAAGGUUGAAACUCAAAUGAAUGGACGGGG